This 255-nucleotide ribosomal RNA is filed under the name uncultured bacterium. RNAcentral describes it as "partial 16S ribosomal RNA". It matches the Rfam family "Bacterial small subunit ribosomal RNA", at positions 524 to 776 of the family's 1533-position model. The record is from RNAcentral.
UACGUAGGGUGCAAGCGUUGUCCGGAAUUAUUGGGCGUAAAGAGCUUGUAGGCGGUUUUGUCGCGUCUGCUGUGAAAUUUCGGGGCUCAACCCCGAACUUGCAGUGGGUACGGGCAGACUAGAGUGUGGUAGGGGAGACUGGAAUUCCUGGUGUAGCGGUGAAAUGCGCAGAUAUCAGGAGGAACACCGAUGGCGAAGGCAGGUCUCUGGGCCGAUACUGACGCUGAGGAGCGAAAGCGUGGGGGAGCGAACAGG